Molecule: long non-coding RNA, 1555 nt
Organism: Callithrix jacchus (white-tufted-ear marmoset)
Lineage: Eukaryota; Metazoa; Chordata; Mammalia; Primates; Cebidae
Source: RefSeq, a predicted model, not a curated record
AUUCUGUAUACCUCCUUCUAAAAGGCAAAGCCCAAUUCCCUUUCUCUUGACUAUAGGCUGGGCUUUGUGACUCACUUUUAACCAACAGAAUAUGGCAGAAGUGACGAUGUGUGACAAGGUCAUAAAAGGCAUCACCACUUCCUCCUUGCUGUCUCUCUGUUCUCUUACUAUGGGGGAAGCUGCCAUGUUGUGAGGACAUUCAUGCAGCUCAUCAAUGAAGAGGUUCAUGUGCCAAGGAACUCAGGCCUCCUGCCAAUAACCAGCACUACUUUGCCAGACACAUGUGUGAGCUACCUUGGAGACAAAUCCUCCAGCCCCAGUCAAGCCUUCAGAUGAUUACAGCCUGGCUAAUAUCUUGACUGAACUUCAUGUGAGACCUUGGGUCAGAAUCAUCUAGCUAAGACAUUCCUGGAUUCCUGCCCCACAGCAAUUACAAAAAGACAUUUACAAAAGAGAGGCGAAGAGCUGACAAGUUAUAUCACUUCCUCAAGCUCAGAAAGUCAUUCACCACCCAGCCAUUAAAUUAACAAAUGUUUAUGAAGAGCCUUGUACUCCUGACAGCAAGCUCGACGCUAGAGCUACUGUUUAGAACAAGACCCAGCAGAGCCCUGCCUCUCCGUGCGAGUCUCAUUCUUCUUGGCGUCCCAGGAAUCGCCCUAACCCGCCUACCUAGCAGCGCUCCCCGCUGGUUACCCUCCCACCAGCAUUCAGCCCAAGUAAGACGCGCGCAGUGUGGAUAGACCCGGUCCAGUACACAAAUGCGACAUAAAAGGUCAACAAAAGGAAGAAAAACACCAAGCAAGGAUCCUAGGGGGCCAAGGGCUGAGCCACAACGCACCGCAACUCCAGAAAACCGGGUCUCGGCCACGGUUCCCAGCCCUCUGACCCCCCCGUUCCUACGCCACGCUCCGCCCGACUCCCGGCCCCGCCCACCGCGUCGUUGGCGUAGUUCCCUCGACUCCCUCUCACCCGCCCGGGCUCCACCUUCUGCAGUAGAUCCGAGUGCCGCUCCAAGGCCCUUGCGAAGCCGCCUGGGCGCGUCUUAGGCUCCGUGGCAUCGGAACUCCCACUUUCGGAUCCGCUCUCAGUCCCUACGCCCCGAAAGGGCCUAGAGAAGAGAAACAUUCGCGGAAAAUGUCUCUCGGCAGCCACGGCACGGGUCAGACACAGCGCCGCCAUGACUUUUUUUACCUCUGACCUUUGACCUUCCGCCGCAAGCGCGCGGGUCACGGGGCGGAGCGACGUGAGGUCCGCCCACCGGCCGAGGAGCUCAGAGGGCCAGCGGGGCAUAAUCUGCCUUGAUCUUGGAGUGGCGUGGGACUGGAGAGACGCUAAAAUUGAUGGGCUAAAGAGUUGCAAAGGGGCCCGGAAUAUGAUCAGAAAAAGAAAGAAGCCAAAGAGAAAGGCACUUGGGUUCAACUGAAGCGCCAGCCUGCUCCACCCAGAGAAGCACACUGUGUGAGAACCAAUGGGAAGGAGCCUGAGCUACUGGAGCCCAUUCCAUAUGAAUUCAUGGCAUAAUACGUGUUAAUAAAAGACCUCUGGACUAUGAAAA